Molecule: ribosomal RNA, 79 nt
Filed under: Pseudomonas aeruginosa
Lineage: Bacteria; Pseudomonadati; Pseudomonadota; Gammaproteobacteria; Pseudomonadales; Pseudomonadaceae
Description: partial 23S ribosomal RNA
Rfam family: Bacterial large subunit ribosomal RNA
Source: RNAcentral
ACGACGUUGAUAGGCUGGGUGUGUAAGCGUUGUGAGGCGUUGAGCUAACCAGUACUAAUUGCCCGUGAGGCUUGACCAU